AUGCAGCGAUGCCGCGUGAGUGAAGAAGGCCUUUGGGUUGUAAAGCUCUUUCGUCGGGGAAGAAAAUGACUGUACCCGAAUAAGAAGGUCCGGCUAACUUCGUGCCAGCAGCCGCGGUAAUACGAAGGGACCUAGCGUAGUUCGGAAUUACUGGGCUUAAAGAGCUCGUAGGUGGUUAAGAAAGUUGGUGGUGAAAUCCCAAGGCUUAACCUUGGAACUGCCACCGAAACUUUUUGACUAGAGUAUGAUAGAGGUAAGUGGAAUUUCUAGUGUAGAGGUGAAAUUCGUAGAUAUUAGAAAGAACACCGAUUGCGAAGGCAACUUUCUGGAUCAUUACUGACACUGAGGAGCGAAAGCAUGGGUAGCGAAGAGGAUUAGAUACCCUCGUAGUCCAUGCUGUAAACGAUGUGUGCUAGAUGUUGGGAAUUUAAUUUUCAGUGUCGCAGCAAAAGCAUUAAGCACACCGCCUGGGGAGUACGACCGCAAGGUUAAAACUCAAAUGAAUUGACGGGGACCCGCACAAGCAGUGGAGCAUGUGGUUUAAUUCGAAGAUACGCGCAGAACCUUACCAACACUUGACAUGUUCGUCGCGACUCUAAGAGAUUAGAGUCAUCGGUUCGGCCGGACGAAACACAGGUGCUGCAUGGCUGUCGUCAGCUCGUGUCGUGAGAUGUUGGGUUAAGUCCCGCAACGAGCGCAACCCUUACUUUUAGUUGCUACCAUUUAGUUGGGCACUCUAAAAGAACUGCCAGUGAUAAGCUGGAGGAAGGUGGGGAUGACGUCAA
Molecule: ribosomal RNA, 785 nt
Filed under: uncultured Pelagibacterales bacterium
Lineage: Bacteria; Pseudomonadati; Pseudomonadota; Alphaproteobacteria; Candidatus Pelagibacterales
Description: bacterial SSU rRNA
Rfam family: Bacterial small subunit ribosomal RNA
Source: RNAcentral